Non-coding RNA from Pelobates cultripes (western spadefoot toad), 261 nucleotides. The record is from the annotation of a GenBank genome assembly. NCBI's taxonomy places the organism in Eukaryota, Metazoa, Chordata, Amphibia, Anura, Pelobatidae.
AGACACUAAGGGACACUGGGAGACAUUAUGGCAGACACUGAGACACUAAGGGACACUGGGAGACAUUAUGGCAGACACUGAGACACUAAGGGACAUUGGGAAACAUUAUGGCAGACACUGAGACACUAAGGGACACUGGGAGACAUUAUGGCAGACACUGAGACACUAAGGGACACUGGGAGACAUUAUGGCAGACACUGAGACACUAAGGGACACUGGGAGACAUUAUGGCAGACACUGAGACACUAAGGGACACUGGGA